Cucumis melo (muskmelon) is the source of this 461-nucleotide long non-coding RNA. RefSeq lists it as uncharacterized. NCBI's taxonomy places the organism in Eukaryota, Viridiplantae, Streptophyta, Magnoliopsida, Cucurbitales, Cucurbitaceae. The record is from RefSeq and is a predicted model, not a curated record. The transcript is spliced from 3 exons.
GAUAGUUGGGAUUUGGUAUACCCAACGAAGAGGAAUUUUAGUUUCUUUAAAUAAUUUAAUGGUUGAAUUAAAUUAUCUUUCUGAAAGGGGGCCGGUUGGACAAAUUGGUGUUGGAGCGUGGGAUUCUUUCUCGACUUAAAGGGAGUUAGCGCAACCUUGAUUUUGGGGGCCCUGCUGCUUGGAAAGCACACCUCCUCUUACUUUUAGGACUCGACAACCAAAUCUCCAGGUAGAGGACGAGGCAAGGGCAAGGGCAAGCUGGCGAGCGACCCGAAGUGAGACCGUGGAGGGCCAUAGGGACUACCGCUUCCGCUUAUUCUUAUUUCAGAUUUUCGCAUUUGAAUUUGAGUACUUUUCAUCACUUACCAUCUUUUAUGUAGAUAGGGCCCGAGUAGGACUUCAGAACGCUUUUACAUUUUUGCAUGACUACCUUGUUUGAAUUUUAUAAAUGAAAUUUCUUA